AGUGAACGCUGGCGGUAGGCCUAACACAUGCAAGUCGAACGGCAGCACAGUAAGAGCUUGCUCUUACGGGUGGCGAGUGGCGGACGGGUGAGGAAUACAUCGGAAUCUACUUUUUCGUGGGGGAUAACGUAGGGAAACUUACGCUAAUACCGCAUACGACCUACGGGUGAAAGCAGGGGAUCUUCGGACCUUGCGCGAUUGAAUGAGCCGAUGUCGGAUUAGCUAGUUGGCGGGGUAAAGGCCCACCAAGGCGACGAUCCGUAGCUGGUCUGAGAGGAUGAUGAGCCACAGGGGCACGGAGACACGGUCCAGACUCCUCGGGGGGGCAGCAGGGGGGAAUAUUGGACAGGGGGCGAAAGCCUGACCCAGCCAUCCGGGGGGGGGGAAGAGGGCCUUGGGUUUGAAAGCCCUUUUUGUGGGAAAAAAAAAGCAGAAGGUUAAUCCCCCGCUGUUCGGAGGGAACCAAAAAAAAAACCCCCGGCUACCUUCGUG
Molecule: ribosomal RNA, 492 nt
Filed under: uncultured bacterium
Lineage: Bacteria
Description: partial 16S ribosomal RNA
Rfam family: Bacterial small subunit ribosomal RNA
Source: RNAcentral